RNAcentral lists this ribosomal RNA (207 nucleotides) under uncultured bacterium. RNAcentral's name for it is "partial 16S ribosomal RNA". It matches the Rfam family "Bacterial small subunit ribosomal RNA", at positions 568 to 774 of the family's 1533-position model. The record is from RNAcentral.
CGUGUAGGCGGAACGAUAAGUCAGAGGUGAAAUCUUACAGCUUAACUGUGAACCUGCUUUUGAAACUGUCGUUCUUGAGUUCGGGAGAGGAAAGUGGAAUUCCUGGUGUAGCGGUGAAAUGCGUAGAUAUCAGGAAGAACACCAGUAGCGAAGGCGGCUUUCUGGCCCGAUACUGACGCUGAGACGCGAAAGCGUGGGGAGCAAACA